RNAcentral lists this ribosomal RNA (501 nucleotides) under uncultured soil bacterium. Its description in RNAcentral is "bacterial SSU rRNA". It matches the Rfam family "Bacterial small subunit ribosomal RNA", at positions 26 to 506 of the family's 1533-position model. The record is from RNAcentral.
AGAUUGAACGCUAGCGGGAUGCUUUACACAUGCAAGUCGAACGGCAGCGCGGACUUCGGUCUGGCGGCGAGUGGCGAACGGGUGAGUAAUAUAUCGGAACGUGCCCAGUAGCGGGGGAUAACUACGCGAAAGCGUGGCUAAUACCGCAUACGCCCUACGGGGGAAAGGGGGGGAUCGCAAGACCUCUCACUAUUGGAGCGGCCGAUAUCAGAUUAGCUAGUUGGUGAGGUAAAGGCUCACCAAGGCGACGAUCUGUAGCUGGUUUGAGAGGACGACCAGCCACACUGGGACUGAGACACGGCCCAGACUCCUACGGGAGGCAGCAGGUGGGGUAAUUUUGGACAAGUGGGGGAAACCCUGAUCCAGCCAUCCCGCGUGUGCGAUGAAGGCCUUCGGGUUGUAAGCUACGUUUUGGCGUAAGGAAGAAAACGGCGUACCCGUUAAGUACCGGGACGUCGACGUGACCGGUACCUGCAAGAAUAACGCACCGACUAACUACGU